GUGUCAGCCGCCGCGGUAAGACGAAGGUGGCAAGCGUUGUUCGGUAUCACUGGGCUUAAAGCGUGUGUAGGCGGAAAAGUAAGCGUCUUGUGAAAUCCCCCGGCUUAACCGGGGAACUGCGUGACGAACUGCUUUUCUUGAGGCAAGUAGGGGUGCAUGGAACUCUUGGUGGAGCGGUGGAAUGCGUAGAUAUCAAGAGGAACGCCAGUGGUGAAAACGGUGCACUGGGCUUGUUCUGACGCUGAGACACGAAAGCGUGGGGAGCGAACGGGAUUAGAUACCCCGGUAGUCCACGCCGUAAACGAUGCCUACUAGGUUGUGGGAGUUCUGACACUUGCACAGCCGAAGCAAAAGUGUUAAGUAGGCCGCCUGGGGAGUACGGUCGCAAGGCUAAAACUCAAAGGAAUUGACGGGG
RNAcentral lists this ribosomal RNA (415 nucleotides) under uncultured prokaryote. RNAcentral describes it as "bacterial SSU rRNA". It matches the Rfam family "Bacterial small subunit ribosomal RNA", at positions 505 to 918 of the family's 1533-position model. The record is from RNAcentral.